Molecule: ribosomal RNA, 403 nt
Filed under: uncultured bacterium
Lineage: Bacteria
Description: partial 16S ribosomal RNA
Rfam family: Bacterial small subunit ribosomal RNA
Source: RNAcentral
AUUGAACGCUGGCGGCAGGCCCAACACAUGCAAGUCGAGCGAGCGGCGGACGGGAGAGUAAUGGAUGGGGACUGCCCGAUCGAGGGGGAUAACUACUGGAAACGGUGGCUAAUACCGCAUACCAUCAGAUAACCCAUAUGGGAGUAGCUUGUAGGUGAGGUAAUGGCUCACAAAGGCGACGAACCCUAACUGGUCUGAGAGGAGGAUCAGCCACACUGGGCCUGAGACACGGCCCAAACUCCACCGGAGCCACCAGUGGGGAAUAUUGCCCAAUGGGCGCGAGCCUGAUGCAGCCAGGCCGCGUGUAUGAAGAAGGCCCUAGGGUUGUAAGGUACUUUCAGUCGGGGGGCGUUACCGACAGAGGAAGCACCGGGUAACUCCGUGCCGGCAGCCGCGGUAAUUC